Non-coding RNA from Pelobates cultripes (western spadefoot toad), 336 nucleotides. The record is from the annotation of a GenBank genome assembly. NCBI's taxonomy places the organism in Eukaryota, Metazoa, Chordata, Amphibia, Anura, Pelobatidae.
GCUCAAUCCUCUGCCAUUUAGGAUUUAAAUCCCUUUGUUUCUAUGUUUCUAUGUAACCCUAGUCACACCUCCCUGCAUGUCACUUGCACAGCCUUCCAUAAACACUUCCUGUAAAGAGAGCCCUAUUUAGGCUUUCCUUAUUGCAAGUUCUGUUUAAUUAAGAUUUUCUUAUCCCCUGCUAUGUUUAUAGCUUGCUAGACCCUGCAAGAGCCUCCUGUAUGUGAUUAAAGUUCAAUUUAGAGAUUGAGAUACAAUUAUUUAAGGUAAAUUACAUCUGUUUGAAAGUGAAACCAGUUUUUUUUUCAUGCAGGCUCUGUCAAUCAUAGCCAGGGGAGG